UGGGAACGACGAACAUAUGAGAUCAAGGAUAAAUGGUGUGCUGAGAAUCCGUUUGAGAUUUUUGCACAAAAUAUGCGGGAUAACUUUCCUGCUAAUGGGAUACAGGAUGGCAGGCAGAAGGUGAGGAGGUUGUGAUGAUUAGAUGCAGCAUUUCCUCUCUUGCUGUACAUACCUUUCCGGCCUUUUCAACUAGUCAGCAUUAAUGGAGUUUUUCUACCGUGGCAAAAAGAUAUAGGAGUUACGAGCCUGGACAUUGUUCACUGUGGGGGAACAUGCACGGAUGGAAACUGGGCGGAGCGUUUGAUUUAUU
This 310-nucleotide small nucleolar RNA is filed under the name Trichophyton rubrum BMU01672. RNAcentral describes it as "HACA-box snoRNA". Lineage: Eukaryota; Fungi; Ascomycota; Eurotiomycetes; Onygenales; Arthrodermataceae. The record is from RNAcentral.